GACCCUAUCGUCUAGUGGUUAGGACACCGCCCUUUCACGGCGGGAACCGGGGUUCGAAUCCCCGUAGGGUCGCCA
Molecule: transfer RNA, 75 nt
Filed under: Verrucomicrobiales bacterium
Lineage: Bacteria; Pseudomonadati; Verrucomicrobiota; Verrucomicrobiia; Verrucomicrobiales
Description: tRNA-Glu
Rfam family: tRNA
About the family: Transfer RNA (tRNA) molecules are approximately 80 nucleotides in length. Their secondary structure includes four short double-helical elements and three loops (D, anti-codon, and T loops). Further hydrogen bonds mediate the characteristic L-shaped molecular structure. tRNAs have two regions of fundamental functional importance: the anti-codon, which is responsible for specific mRNA codon recognition, and the 3' end, to which the tRNAs corresponding amino acid is attached (by aminoacyl-tRNA synthetases). tRNAs cope with the degeneracy of the genetic code in two manners: having more than one tRNA (with a specific anti-codon) for a particular amino acid; and 'wobble' base-pairing, i.e. permitting non-standard base-pairing at the 3rd anti-codon position.
Source: RNAcentral